RNAcentral lists this transfer RNA (58 nucleotides) under Marmosa murina (murine mouse opossum). Its description in RNAcentral is "tRNA-Ser". The record is from RNAcentral. Lineage: Eukaryota; Metazoa; Chordata; Mammalia; Didelphimorphia; Didelphidae.
GAGAAAGAAUCAAGAACUGCUAAUUCUAGAAUCCAUACCUAAAACUAUGGCUUUCUUA